AGGCGAAACGCCCUUCGGGGUGUCUGGCCGGGUGGUACCCGGUCACUGAUGAGCCAGCCAAAG
This 63-nucleotide non-coding RNA is filed under the name Streptomyces sp. H34-S4. The record is from RNAcentral. Lineage: Bacteria; Bacillati; Actinomycetota; Actinomycetes; Kitasatosporales; Streptomycetaceae.